Non-coding RNA from Bemisia tabaci, 488 nucleotides. The record is from RefSeq and is a predicted model, not a curated record. Lineage: Eukaryota; Metazoa; Arthropoda; Insecta; Hemiptera; Aleyrodidae.
ACUCACCGUUGAUUACCUAGGACUUCGCGUCAUUUUUUGAACUACACUGUCAGGUGCGUCAAUAAUACUUUGGACUCAGGAUAGAAUUCACCGUACUUCUGCUUUCAUCUUCACUCUCGGAGCUCAUACCAAUAUGAUGCGGACACGGAUCAUGAUCCUCAUUGCUGCUAUGAUUGUGUGCAGUGAUAUAUGGUGCUCCAAUGCUACUCCAGUUACGAAGUCCGGAACUCUUGUUGUGACGCAAACUGACGCAGCAACCUAUGAUGAAGGCGGAUUUUUAAAGCGAGAAUACUCAUACAUUUCCUCUCUUUGGGAGAACUGGUGGUGGCCUCAAUUUUACAUCUUCUGAGGGAAACCAGAACUGCCCAAAGUCAUCACAUAUUACUGAACAUGGAGCCUUGCAGUUGAUCGCAAAUUUUGUCAAUAGUCAAAACCUGAUUUGUAUCAAUAAAUAUCGAGAACUGAACGAAUAAAGGAGUAGAAUUAAG